AACGAAUUGCGAGUAUUCCAAAUCUGUUUAAAAAACGACCAAUGCGUCACUGGACGUUCGACAAAGCUGACCAAUACUUACCUUGUCGGCGUUACAUCCCCCCAAAUGCCACGCCGGCAUUUGAGGCAGCACUGGAUGUGCACCUCUGUUUUACUCCUAAUGGUCUUAACCCGGAUUCCCCAGAGUCCGG
Molecule: small RNA, 190 nt
Filed under: Pseudomonas psychrophila
Lineage: Bacteria; Pseudomonadati; Pseudomonadota; Gammaproteobacteria; Pseudomonadales; Pseudomonadaceae
Description: Pseudomonas sRNA P16
Rfam family: RgsA sRNA
About the family: P16 sRNA appears to be conserved across several Pseudomonas species and Azotobacter vinelandii. In these species it is consistently located downstream of a predicted TatD deoxyribonuclease gene.
Source: RNAcentral